UGAAGACUUGUGUAAAUCCUUCCUGGUGGGUGGAUGCUGUUUGAUUUAUUUUCAGUUAGAAAUUAAAUUAUUUCAUCUUCUCCAUUUACAGAGAUUGAUGCUGGAAAAGUGUGCAAGAAGUUACUGUUGAAUGGUUUGCUAGCCAAGCCCACUCAUGGUGACAUCAUCAGAUUUGCUCCGCCCCUUAUUAUCAAUGAGAGCCAAUUAAAUGAAUGUAUUGACAUCAUUAGCUCUACAGUUUGUUCUAUGUAACUCAACAUGGAGCAGUGAGGAUAUAGGAAAAAAACACAUGUUAUAUACUGUAAAGUCAGGAUAUGUUAACCAUCUUUAACACUGCAUUUUUUUAUAAGAUAUUGGGUAUUGAAUGGCAUUUUUAGUGUUUUAAAAGAAUUGAAAUAGUUUUUGUGCUUUUGAAGCUCAUAUUGUUUUGUAUUGCUGUUCUAAAUGUAGUUUAAAUGCUUAUUUGCAUUUAGGAUAAGAUACUGAUAAAUGAAAGGUAAAGGGGUGUUAUUGUAUAGUAUUAUAUGGGCAUAGUGUUACAGAUCGUAUAUUGCCAUGGUAGUUCAGAUCUCCUUUGAAUCAAAUCCAGUAACAGUAUUAUGAAGAAAUUAACUUUACUUGGUCAGAAAUUCAUGUCAAAAGUUUUUAAAAGAUUUCUUUUGUCAAUACUAGUCAGCUGCAAUAUUUGUUUGUAUAUUCAAAAAAAGGACAUUUUCCACGUUUUAAAGGCUGUUAUUGCCUCCGUUUGAUAUUAAAAUCUUUCUCAGAAUUAUUUAAAGGUCCAUUACUAAGGGAAAGUGAGUUGGCAAUUUUUUUCAUAGCCAGUGCAUAGACUUCUGCAAGACACUAAAUAAUGAAGAUUGGCAGGUCAAAAUUUACAGAAGGUCUUUGGAACUCAAAGAAAUGUAUGUGUAUUAUGUUGAAAUUUCAGUGAAUCGACAGAAUGACCCCCCAGGUCUUUUUAACUUUCUUCAUACUUCAUAGAAAAAUAAUUGUACAUAUACUGUGAUUUAUUUCGAAUUUCUACAUACCAACUUUCAUUUUCCAAUAAAAUGAAAUAGUUUCUGUGCUUUUUAAAAGAAAUUAAAAUGUUCACUUUCCUUAGUAUUGGACCUUUAAACAAAGACAUGGAUAACUCACCUCUAUAUAUGACCCAUAUUGUUUUUCUUUGAAAAUGUGCAGUUAUUUCUUUGGCUUUGUGUGUUUUAUGAAAGUCAUUAUUUCUUACACGUUUAUGACAUUUAACUGCAGAAUUUGGGAUGAAAAUAGUACUGUUUUGAGAAUAAAUACAACUUAGUUCCGUUUAGAGUGCUAGGAAUCAGAUUCUAAGCUCGUAACAUUUUCUUUAUUGAAGGAAACAAAACAAUCUCUAAAAUGUAUAUAUAAAACUUUUUACAGAUAAAAAGAUCUGGUAACCUUUAGCUUGCUUGCGGCAAGUGAUUUUGCCUUUGCAAUCAGUGCAGACCAAGACCAGCCUGCAUCUGCGUGCUGACCAUGGUCUGUGCUGUUUGCUAUUCAGUCAGUAAAUUUUCCAUGAACAACCAUUUGAAUAAUAAGUGGUAAUGCCUAAAUUGAAUGAUGGAACACUUGAUUUUAGAAAUAUAGGAGGGUAAGUGUUAAACAAGUUUUUGUUUCUUACAGGCUUUUGUGAUUGAGAUGAAUUUGAAACUAGAUAUUAUGUUGGCAGGUGAAUUUAAAACUAGAUAUUAUGUUGGCAUUACAACAGGUGUACAUUAUACUUUGCUCACUUAUAGUGGCAAGUUUGCUUGGAAGUUUAAAUCUUUAUGCAUUUCCUUUGUGAUAACAAACUGUACUGGUGUAUUCAGUUUUUUUUUGAAUCUCAAAGAGCUUUUUUAGAAUAGUUGUUUAAAUUUUUUAGAAGUGUCCAGUAAUACUUUCAUGAUAUUGCGAUUUUGUUAAAUUAAAUAAAUAUGGUAUUGUAAACAGAAUCUCAAAAAACCACUUGUAUAAUAUUAAAUGUGAUAUAUAUUUGCUGGCUGCCUUUGAAAUACUUGUUUUCUCUUUUAAAACAGUAUUAUAUAUGUAACUUUCAAAGGAAAAAACUACUACAGCAGCCUAUUGUAAAUAUUUUUAAGGAAGGUGAUAAGUUUGUACUACUACCAGUUAAUAUUAAAUAUUAUCUUCAGUGAAGAUUUUAAGAAGGAGUGAAAUACAAUGCUGAAUAGUUUGGAAAGCAAAAUUGUCUUUCUCUAGUGCCUGUAAACUGAUGGUAUUUAUACAUACAGUUUUAAAUUACUUUUUAAAAUAAUUUUUGGAGUUUUUUAUCUUUUGAAAAAAGAAAUCCAUAGAAUGGAUUCCCAUUUUUGCUUGUUUUCUAGUGAUUUGUUCUUUGAUAUGCGUAGAAAUAUUUUAAUUUUGUUUUGUGCUUUUAUCAAAAUGUUGGACAUAAAAUGUUGUGGGACUGGUGUGUUUUGCCGUGUUUAGGGAAUAGGAAGUUUUCAUUGAUAUGAAUGUGUUUCUGUUUAAUUUACAGUUAAUAUGUGACCGGAAAAUUCAUGUUUUGAAGUUUUUGAGUUUAGUUUAAACUGUCAAAAGUUUUCCCCAGUAUAUUUGAAAAGUCUUACUUUAUUAUAGAAAUGAGAAUUAUAUAAAUUUGGUUUAAUUUUGUGUUUGGUGUAUCUGUCUUUUACUUCACCUGUGUUAUAUUUAUGCUAGAAAAGUGCUAAAUUUUCUUGGUGCGUCAUGUGCUUUAUACAUGUAUUUACACUCAUGAUGCUGGUUCUUAUUUAAGAGUCUUAUAUGACAGGGUCUUAGUGGCAGUUUUUUAUGAUAUAAGGGGAAAAGAAUGUUGGUCUGUUUGUCGCACAAUAAACUUUGAUAAAUUGUCCAGAACCCCCAGCAGGACUUCCUGUAAAUUUGGUAGGAAGAUGCAUUACUGAGCAUAGUUGCACAUAUUUUAAAACAAAAUCUUGAUAAAAUAUUGUGCUAGAGUUAUUGAAUGGAAAAAAAACUUUUGUAUGGAAUAAUUUUCACUAAUUUCUGAUUUUAAUUGAAACAGCUCUGCACUGAAGUUUCUAGUGUGCCGGUGCAAUUUACGCGAGAAGUUUCUGGUGCACUUGUGCAUGCAGUCUCUUUUAAAUCAGAUAAAACUUCUGCUUUUUUCCCAUGUAGUAGGGAUUUCUUGGUUGAUGAUUUUAAUAAGAUCUUUUAGUGCAAACUAUUCUUUGGUUAGCAAACACAUGUAAGUAAAUUUGGUUACCAAGGUAACAAAGGUUAUUUUUAUAGAAGUUUCUGUAACUGUACAAUUUUUGGUCAUAUAUGGAAGCAGGUUCAAGCCUUGAUACACAUAGCACGGUUUCUACUCAUUAACCAGUUGCAGUGCAUAUGUUGUAGCAACACACGUGCACAGUUCUAAAAUUCGUUAUUAAAAUAUAGUUAGUUAAUAUUUUUAUCUUACUGAUUUCUUUAGUUUUUAAUUCUGAUAGAGCAGAGCCAAUGAAAAAAAAAUUUUGUUGUUUUUUUCGUGGAAUUCAACACUUUACCUAUAACUUACCUUCAAAAAUUAACUUUGUGCAGAUUUUAAUAAGAAAGUUUUAGGCUAGGAGCAUUCAUAAAUACCAAAACCACUUGAGCAUUUUCCAUUGAAGUAUGUGACGGGAAGAUGUUUUCUAAGAUAACUGGCAUUUUUGCUAGUAUCAUAGUUGAAAAUCGCGCUUUUUGGUGAUAUGAUUUUUCAUUUAGUAUUAAUGUCUGUUGACGUUUUUGUCUCUAGUUGUUUUUGAAUGAGAUUGUAUUUGAAGGCUUUACUGUAACAGCAUAAUAAAAUGAACAAGAGAUCAUAA
Long non-coding RNA from Mercenaria mercenaria, 3803 nucleotides. RefSeq lists it as uncharacterized. Lineage: Eukaryota; Metazoa; Mollusca; Bivalvia; Venerida; Veneridae. The transcript has 2 exons. The record is from RefSeq and is a predicted model, not a curated record.